Balaenoptera ricei (Rice's whale) is the source of this 1858-nucleotide long non-coding RNA. RefSeq lists it as uncharacterized. The transcript is spliced from 6 exons. Lineage: Eukaryota; Metazoa; Chordata; Mammalia; Artiodactyla; Balaenopteridae. The record is from RefSeq and is a predicted model, not a curated record.
AGCCACUCCUCUGUUAGAACUACAACCAAACAAUGCUCGGCGAUCGCGGCAGCUGCUCUCCAAAUGUCAGCGCCAAGCCCGGCCAAAGGGCUGGAAGGCCACCGAGCCCAGGACUUUGUACGCUACCUUUGUCGCCCACAUUUUCCCCAAGCACUCUCAGGACCCUGGCAACAGGUAACGUGGCAACCUUUGCCUUCUAAAACGGCAAGCGGCAGGAUUUCAGAGAACAAAAGGAUUUUUUGAAAGCCAGCUGCAUCUCCCUCGCCACCCCCCUCCUCCUCCCCACGCCCUCCCCCUUCGCCACACCAAGUCUGAGAAAACAAAGUAUUGCUGCGGCAGCCCGGCUCUCGAGCGCCCCCUUGUGACCAAGCUCGGAACAUCACCGAUGUACCUUUCAAGGUACAACUUCAGUCCGAGGCUCGGCUCCCAGGCCGAAUGCCAUCCACACAAAAGAGCUCCUGUCGACAUCUCAUUUACAAUCUACCCCCAGGACACAGACAGGACCAUUUCAAUAAACCCGGCUCAGAAACACCUAUUGUUCAAAAUCUUCAACUAGCCACAGGCUACCACCACUCCCUAUUGUUUUGUAAAAGAAAAGAUUUAGAAGGAGCCAGAUUGGGACCUGGAAGCUCUGAAAGGAGGAAGGAAUAAAGUCCCUUUGACCCGAUGCUGUUGGAGAACGUGCAUGAAGAAUAAAGUUAAUGGAUUUUCAUUUUUACAAGAAGUGCAUAAGCAACGCCCGCUCCCUUCCUGAACUAGUGAUCGGGGAUUCUAAAAGUGGUGCCAACUUUGUAAAGAAGUUAACUCCUGCCAUCGGGUUUGGUACCUGAAAAGUCAAAGGCUCUACUUACCCUAUUCUCUGUCUUACAAAAGCCCUGAUGGCAGCCGCAGCAAAGCACCGGCUAGUAAGCCGGGUGUACCCCUGCUCCUGUGCAAAAGGCCUGUGAAACUCUGAAGCUAUACCUGUACACAGAUGUGAUCCGAUGAUGCCAUCUCAUCUCCAUGGCAACCAGGUGUCUCAGUUAUCUAGUCUGGUGCCAGGGCAUCGGAGACCUGCCACCACCAUGCUGUUCCCCGGUCACUCAGUUCCAAAUUUAUGAGAUUGCCUCAGUCCCUUAGGUAUUUGUUCUCUGAAAGAGUUGGAGACCCAGGUAAAGUUCAGAGCAGCUCGUAACCUGCCUGCAGCCAACGGCAUAUUCCAAAGUCCCUGGGACAUCUGCCUGCUUGGAGCCCUGAGCCACCACAGAAGCAUCCAAUUUUCCUGAGGCUGCCAUGCUGUAAGGAAGCCCAAGUCAGCCACGUGGAAAGACCACAUGAAGAAGCCUGGAGGCUCUUAGGAAGAGGGAGAGGUGUUCAGCAGCCCCCAGUGAUCCAGCCCUCCAGCCACCCAACUGCAAGCUCGGAAGAGACCCUGAGCCAGAACUACCCAGCCGAAGCUCUUCCCGAAUUCCUGCCCCAUAGAAACUGGGAAAUAAGAACACGAUUGCUGUGGUUUUAAGGCACUAAACAAAAAACUUAGAACACUGUCCCAAAACUAGUGAGUGGCAGAUAUGGGAUUCAAACCUAGGUUGGCUUGACAUUCUAUUACAUGAUCAUUAAUCAUUCUAUUACAUGAUUGCUUACAGCAGCCUUUUUAAAAAAUGGUGCUAAAAUAUAUGUAGCAUAAAACUUACCAUGUUAACCAUCUUUAAGUGUACAGUUCAAUAAGUACAUUCACACUGUUGUGCAACACAUCUCCAGACCCUUUUCAUCUUGCAAAACUGAAACUCUACCCAUUAAACAAGAGCUUCCCCUCCCUCACCCCCAGCCCCCGGAAACCACGCUUCUACUUUCUGUCUCUAUGAAUUUGACAACUCUA